GUAGGGACCAAGCGUUGUCCGGAAUUAUUGGGCGUAAAGAGCUCGUAGGCGGUUCGGUAAGUCGGGUGUGAAAAUCCAGGGCUCAACCCUGGGACGCCACCCGAUACUGCUGUGACUAGAGUCCGGUAGAGGAGCGUGGAAUUUCUGGUGUAGCGGUGAAAUGCGCAGAUAUCAGAAGGAACACCAGCGGCGAAGGCGGCGCUCUGGGCCGGUACUGACGCUGAGGAGCGAAAGCGUGGGGAGCAAACAGGAUUAGAUACCCUGGUAGUCCACGCCGUAAACGUUGGGCACUAGGUAUGGGGUCUUAUCAACGGAUUCCCGUGCCGUAGCUAACGCAUUAAGUGCCCCCGCCUGGGGAGUACGGCCGCAAGGCUA
RNAcentral lists this ribosomal RNA (375 nucleotides) under uncultured organism. RNAcentral's name for it is "partial 16S ribosomal RNA". It matches the Rfam family "Bacterial small subunit ribosomal RNA", at positions 527 to 896 of the family's 1533-position model. The record is from RNAcentral.